Long non-coding RNA from Hibiscus syriacus, 826 nucleotides. RefSeq lists it as uncharacterized. The record is from RefSeq and is a predicted model, not a curated record. NCBI's taxonomy places the organism in Eukaryota, Viridiplantae, Streptophyta, Magnoliopsida, Malvales, Malvaceae. The transcript is spliced from 2 exons.
AAAACAAAAUAUCAUUCAUCCUAAACUUAUUCUCCCUCCCAACGCCGUUUUACACUCUUCUCCCCUUAUCUUCUUCUUUGAUGGUACCCGAACCAGAGACCAAAAUCCUCCAUGGCCUAAACCAAAACACCGGACCGACCACCGUAUCGUGGUGGCCACGCUCCUUUUUUAUCUAACCCUAAACCUGAGACCUAGACCUUUCGAGAAUCAAACGAAACCAUGCUCAAACUAAAGCCUCAAAACCAUGAAAAAAUAGUGCCUCAAAUCAAAAUUCGAAAUAGACCCUAACCUUAUAUAUAAGAAUCGAGGUCUUACCUUCAAUGGAUGCGGAAAAAUCCCCUUAGCUAUGGCGAAGCAAAACGACGGUCUCCUCCGAGGAAAAGGGUAAGUUUUGUUUAGGUUUUGAUUUAUCUUUUCGGGUUUUUUUUUCUGCUUUCGAAAAAGCUCUCGGUUUACUCUCCUUGUUGUUGUGUUUUUGGUUUGAAUGUUCUUAUUGAUCGUUGAAAAUAAGCUCCGAACAGUCACGAUGAACCACCAAGUUUAUUGCUAUUGUCACGUCCUUGGAGCCUUAAACUCGAACGUGCUGGCAUUAUACGGGUGUGACAGUAUUAUCAUGACAAGUGCCCUCAAAUAUUGAACCAGCGGCGUGCCUGAUGCUCUAUCUGCUUGUCUACUAUUUUUUCUGAUUCUUACUACCAUAACUUUAAAAAUUGUCUCCCCCCCCCUUUUCCUACUUUGGUAACUGUACUUUGAACAAAGAUCUAUUAUCAUACAUGUAAUUUCAUAAUUUAAUCUCCAAAUAUUAUAUUAAUAAAAUAUUCUCCAA